RNAcentral lists this ribosomal RNA (233 nucleotides) under uncultured bacterium. Its description in RNAcentral is "partial 16S ribosomal RNA". It matches the Rfam family "Bacterial small subunit ribosomal RNA", at positions 105 to 339 of the family's 1533-position model. The record is from RNAcentral.
GGUGAGUAACACGUGAGCAAUCUGCCCCUGACUCUGGGAUAACUCCGAGAAAUCGGUGCUAAUACCGGAUACGAACUGAGACCGCAUGGUCAUUAGUUGGAAAGAACUUCGGUCAGAGAUGAGCUCGCGGCCUAUCAGCUAGUUGGUGAGGUAAUGGCUCACCAAGGCGACGACGGGUAGCUGGUCUGAGAGGAUGGUCAGCCACACUGGGACUGAGACACGGCCCAGACUCC